RNAcentral lists this small nucleolar RNA (162 nucleotides) under Catagonus wagneri (Chacoan peccary). RNAcentral's name for it is "Small nucleolar RNA SNORA73 family (ENSCWAG00000008963.1)". It matches the Rfam family "Small nucleolar RNA SNORA73 family". From Rfam's summary of the family: U17 (SNORA73A and SNORA73B) also known as E1 belongs to the H/ACA class of small nucleolar RNAs (snoRNAs). Vertebrate U17 is intron-encoded and ranges in length from 200-230 nucleotides, longer than most snoRNAs. Lineage: Eukaryota; Metazoa; Chordata; Mammalia; Artiodactyla; Tayassuidae. The record is from Rfam by way of RNAcentral.
CCAAUGUGGAUACCCUGGGAGAUGCAGGUGGCACAGGGGAGCACAGGGCUUCACACUGUGAUGUACUGUCCCUUCCCACAAUGUUGGAGAUGAAGUUGGGCCUUGAGUCUGCAUCUGCGUAUUCCUACAAAGAUGGGGAGACAGAUGAUGCAGCAAACAGCU